Non-coding RNA from Phrynosoma platyrhinos (Desert horned lizard), 75 nucleotides. NCBI's taxonomy places the organism in Eukaryota, Metazoa, Chordata, Lepidosauria, Squamata, Phrynosomatidae. The record is from the annotation of a GenBank genome assembly.
AGCCAGUUGGUGUAGUGGUUUGAGCAUAGGACUGGGACUAGGACUAGGAUCAGGGUUCGAUUCCCUGCUUGGCCA